GACGAACGCUGGCGGCGUGCUUAACACAUGCAAGUCGAACGGAAAGGCCCUGCUUUUGCGGGGUGCUCGAGUGGCGAACGGGUGAGUAACACGUGAGUAACCUGCCCUUGACUUUGGGAUAACUUCAGGAAACUGGGGCUAAUACCGGAUAGGAGCUCCUGCUGCAUGGUGGGGGUUGGAAAGUUUCGGCGGUUGGGGAUGGACUCGCGGCUUAUCAGCUUGUUGGUGGGGUAGUGGCUUACCAAGGCUUUGACGGGUAGCCGGCCUGAGAGGGUGACCGGCCACAUUGGGACUGAGAUACGGCCCAGACUCCUACGGGAGGCAGCAGUGGGGAAUAUUGCACAAUGGGCGGAAGCCUGAUGCAGCAACGCCGCGUGCGGGAUGACGGCCUUCGGGUUGUAAACCGCUUUCGCCUGUGACGAAGCGUGAGUGACGGCAAUGGGUAAAGAAGCACCGGCUAACUACGUG
This 468-nucleotide ribosomal RNA is filed under the name uncultured bacterium. Its description in RNAcentral is "partial 16S ribosomal RNA". It matches the Rfam family "Bacterial small subunit ribosomal RNA", at positions 28 to 507 of the family's 1533-position model. The record is from RNAcentral.